GAUCAUGGCUCAGAACGAACGCUGGCGGCAGGCCUAACACAUGCAAGUCGAGCGCGCCCUUCGGGGUGAGCGGCGGACGGGUUAGUAACGCGUGGGAACGUACCCUUUGGUAGGGAAUAGCCACUGGAAACGGUGAGUAAUACCCUAUGAGCCCUUCGGGGGAAAGAUUUAUCGCCAAAGGAUCGGCCCGCGUUAGAUUAGGUAGUUGGUGGGGUAAUGGCCUACCAAGCCUACGAUCUAUAGCUGGUUUUAGAGGAUGAUCAGCAACACUGGGACUGAGACACGGCCCAGACUCCUACGGGAGGCAGCAGUGGGGAAUCUUGGACAAUGGGGGCAACCCUGAAUCCAGCCAUGCCGCGUGAGUGAAGAAGGCCUUAGGGUCGUAAAGCUCUUUCGCCUGUGAAGAUAAUGACGGUAGCAGGUAAAGAAACCCCGGCUAACUCCGUGCCAGCAGCGGC
Molecule: ribosomal RNA, 458 nt
Filed under: uncultured bacterium
Lineage: Bacteria
Description: bacterial SSU rRNA
Rfam family: Bacterial small subunit ribosomal RNA
Source: RNAcentral